GUGACGUGGCUGGGGGCUUAGGUGGUUUUUCUUUGCGGGAGGGAGUUCAGGCGCUUCGGCAAAACCCUUCCUUUUUUGGGGAAAGGCCAGGCGAUGUUUCUCCACGUAGACAGUUUGGUUGCUGACAGCAGGAUGCAUAAUGCAGCGAGAGCUGCACGACAUGAUCGUGACAGACCACGCCAGCGGGGGCAAGUGAAGUGCCUCUUCCUGAGCAAAGAUGCUCUCCAUCUAGACAGCUGCUCCGCCGGCUGACAGGAGAUGAUAUUGGGUUCCCAUCUGAUACCUGCAACUGUGGCUGCCAUCUUGGAAGAAUGAAGAGGCAAGUCCAAGAGCAAAGUCAACUUGAUGAGGGUCAUAGGACAGAAAGAUGGAAAGAGCCUGAUCCUUGAUCAAGUCAAUCAUUUGCUGAUCUACCCAUGGAAACUCGUACUCAGACUUCUUGUAAUGUCUUAUUUUCUAAGCUACCUUUGGAUAGGUUUUCUGUUACUUGUAGACAAAGCAUCUGAAUGAUAUGUUCCCGUCCACCUCUAAAUCUCCAAUGACAAUCAGGAAAGCUUAUACAUCAGUGGUUCUCAAAGUGUGAUCCCUGGACCAGCAGCAUCAGCAUCACCUGGAAACUUACUAGAAAUGCAAAUUCUCAGAUCCCAUCCUGGUCUUCCUGGAUCAGAAAGGAGGAGUGGAGGCAGCAGCAAUGUGUGUUUUAACAAGCCCUGCCGGCAAUUGUGAUGCAUCCUGAACUUUGCCAAGCCCUGCUUUAUAUAUUCCUCUGUUAUACUAAUGUCAGAACUAACUGCUGGGAGUCUGAGGGUCACUCAUUAUUCCUUCUAAUUCACCCUUUCCUAUCAUGGCUUCAGUCAAUUCCACUAUCUCUAAAGCUCAAAAAAAAAAAAAAAAGAAGAAGAAGAAGAAGAA
This is a non-coding RNA of Equus caballus (horse), 912 nucleotides long. The record is from RefSeq and is a predicted model, not a curated record. NCBI's taxonomy places the organism in Eukaryota, Metazoa, Chordata, Mammalia, Perissodactyla, Equidae.